CUACUUCACUUUCCUCUCUCCAAAGAGGAUGCUGAGGAUGUCAAGGGGACUUUAAGGUACAUGAUGAGUAAAAGGUUCCUUCGUAGUGGAAAUUACCCAUCAAGUGAAGGAAACCCAAGGGACAAAUUGAUGCAGUGGUCUCAUGGUGCUACUGGCAUGGCCAUCACCCUGUGCAAGGCAUCACAGGUUUUCCCAAAUGAUAGGGAAUUUCGUGAUGCCGCUAUAGAAGCAGGGGAAGUUGUGUGGAAGAGUGGAUUAGUGAAGAAGGUGGGACUUGCUGAUGGUGUGGCUGGAAAUGCAUAUGCCUUCCUUUCCCUUUACCGUCUUACAGGAGAUAGCAUAUACGAAGAGCGAGCCAAGGCAUUUGCAAGCUUCUUGUAUAGCAAUGCAAGUAAAUUAGUGCCUGGAGGACAUGUUCGCGGAGCUGAUCAUGCUUACUCUCUUUUUCAAGGACUUGCUGGAACAGCUUGCCUCUGGUUUGA
This 482-nucleotide unclassified non-coding RNA is filed under the name Hevea brasiliensis (rubber tree). Lineage: Eukaryota; Viridiplantae; Streptophyta; Magnoliopsida; Malpighiales; Euphorbiaceae. The record is from RNAcentral.